Molecule: ribosomal RNA, 271 nt
Filed under: Campylobacter sputorum
Lineage: Bacteria; Pseudomonadati; Campylobacterota; Epsilonproteobacteria; Campylobacterales; Campylobacteraceae
Description: partial 16S ribosomal RNA
Rfam family: Bacterial small subunit ribosomal RNA
Source: RNAcentral
CUCUUGGGAAACUAUCUAUCUAGAGUAAGGRAGAGGCAGAUGGAAUUCUUGGUGUAGGGGUAAAAUCCGUAGAUAUCAAGAGGAAURCUURUUGCGAAGGCRAUCUGCUAGAACUUAACUGACACUAAUGCGURAAAGCGUGGGGAGCAAACAGGAUUAGAUACCCUNGUAGUCCACGCCCUAAACGAUGUAUACUNGUURUUGCUGUGCUAGUCAUGGCAGUAAUCCACUAACGGAUUAAGUAUACCGCCUGGGGAGUACGGUCGCAAGA